Prolemur simus (greater bamboo lemur) is the source of this 107-nucleotide unclassified non-coding RNA. It matches the Rfam family "Y RNA". Rfam says of the family: Y RNAs are components of the Ro ribonucleoprotein particle (Ro RNP), in association with Ro60 and La proteins. NCBI's taxonomy places the organism in Eukaryota, Metazoa, Chordata, Mammalia, Primates, Lemuridae. The record is from Ensembl.
GGCUGGUCCGAAGGCAGUGAGUUAUCUCACUUGACCGUUCACAGUCACAGAUUGAACUCCUUGUUCUACUUUCCCCCCUAAUCACUACUGCACUUGAUUAGUCUUAA